Brachypodium distachyon (stiff brome) is the source of this 140-nucleotide non-coding RNA. Lineage: Eukaryota; Viridiplantae; Streptophyta; Magnoliopsida; Poales; Poaceae. The record is from Rfam.
AUCAUACUCCCUCCGUCCAACAAAAGAUGUCUCAAGUUUUUCAAAAUUUGGAUGUAUCUAUAUAUGACUUAGUGCAUAGAUGCAUUCAAAUUUGGUCAAAGUUGAGACAUGCAUCUUUUGUUGGAAAGAGGGAGUAUCAU